CUCUCUCUAUAUAAGCUUCUUGUGCCUCUGCUUCCUUCUCAAAACAAGAUCAUAUACUUGCAUCAGUAUUCAGUAUCUGAUCAAGGUCUGCCGGGAUGAAGUUUGUGAUAAUCACAAUAGUGUUAGUGGUGGUGGUCAUGGGAAGCUCUUGUGUGGCCAAAGAUGGCGAAAAGUUGGCGGAGGAGAAGGAAGACAAAGAACUACUUAGCAGCCUCAAUGAUCAUCCUCAUCUUCCUCCAGCAAAGGAAGACAAGGUAUUACUCAGUGAAGACCCCAAUGAUCAUCAUCAACAUCAUAGCGCACCUUCGAGGUACGACGUCGUCGACCAUCCCGCCGCUCACGUACAAGGCCAUGCUUAGUGCAUAAUUAAUAUCCUGAAUCUUUUACAGUUCUUUAUUAUAAAAUUUUUGUAGGGUUUAAAGCUUUCAAAUCUCUACAAUAAUUCUAUAAUCAAGAAUUUUGAAAGAUUUUUAACUCAGAAUAUAUAUUUAUGUAUAUAAAAACAACUCAGGCUCAUAUGGCGUACGUUUGUUUUAUAGCUGCUUUGCUUCUUGCUUGUGGUCAUAUUUCGAUUCAAGCCAUGAAUAAAACCUGUAAAGAAGCGAACUACUGGUCUGUCCGGUCGUGUGUGUGUGUGUGUGUGUUUGUGUAUAUAUUAUACAUAUGAUUAUGCUGGUUAAUAAAGAAGAUACAGUGGAUAUGGUUUGCUUAAA
Molecule: long non-coding RNA, 713 nt
Organism: Neltuma alba
Lineage: Eukaryota; Viridiplantae; Streptophyta; Magnoliopsida; Fabales; Fabaceae
Exons: 2
Source: RefSeq, a predicted model, not a curated record